RNAcentral lists this ribosomal RNA (439 nucleotides) under uncultured bacterium. RNAcentral's name for it is "bacterial SSU rRNA". It matches the Rfam family "Bacterial small subunit ribosomal RNA", at positions 958 to 1398 of the family's 1533-position model. The record is from RNAcentral.
AACGCGAAGAACCUUACCAAGGUUUGACAUGCAGGGAAAAGCCGUAGAGAUACGGUGUCCGUAAGGGUCCUGCACAGGUGGUGCAUGGCUGUCGUCAGCUCGUGUCGUGAGAUGUUGGGUUAAGUCCCGCAACGAGCGCAACCCUCGUCCUAUGUUGCCAGCGGGUAAUGCCGGGGACUCAUAGGAGACUGCCGGGGUCAACUCGGAGGAAGGUGGGGAUGACGUCAAGUCCUCAUGGCCCUUACGGGUAGGGCUACACACGUGCUACAAUGGACGGUACAAAGAGAAGCAAAACUGCGAAGUGAAGCGAAUCUUCCAAAGCCGUUCGUAGUCCGGAUUGGAGUCUGCAACUCGACUCCAUGAAGUUGGAAUCGCUAGUAAUCGUGGAUCAGAACGCCGCGGUGAAUACGUUCCCGGGCCUUGUACACACCGAGACGAC